ACGAACGCUGGCGGCGUGCUUAACACAUGCAAGUCGAACGGAAAGGCCCUGCUUUUGUGGGGUGCUCGAGUGGCGAACGGGUGAGUAACACGUGAGUAACCUGCCCUUGACUUUGGGAUAACUUCAGGAAACUGGGGCUAAUACCGGAUAGGAGCUCCUGCUGCAUGGUGGGGGUUGGAAAGUUUCGGCGGUUGGGGAUGGACUCGCGGCUUAUCAGCUUGUUGGUGGGGUAGUGGCUUACCAAGGCUUUGACGGGUAGCCGGCCUUGGGGGGGGACCGGGCCCCAUGGGGACGAGAAUCCGCCCCGGACCCCUCGGGGGGGCAGGGGGGGGGAGUUUUGCCAAAGGGGGGGACGCCUGAGGGAGCACCCCGGGGUGGGGGAGGCGGGCUUUCGGGUGGGAACCCGUUUCCGCCUGGGACGAAGGGUGGGGGCCGGAAAUGGGGAAAAAAACCCCGCCAACUUCCGG
This 467-nucleotide ribosomal RNA is filed under the name uncultured bacterium. RNAcentral describes it as "partial 16S ribosomal RNA". It matches the Rfam family "Bacterial small subunit ribosomal RNA", at positions 29 to 506 of the family's 1533-position model. The record is from RNAcentral.